GACGAACGCUGGCGGCGUGCUUAACACAUGCAAGUCGAGCGGUAAGGCCCUUUCGGGGGUACACGAGCGGCGAACGGGUGAGUAACACGUGGGUGACCUGCCCUCAGCUCUGGGAUAAGCCUGGGAAACCGGGUCUAAUACUGGAUAUGACUCCAUGACGCAUGUUGUGGGGUGGAAAGCCUUGUGCGGCUGAGGAUGGGCCCGCGGCCUAUCAGCUUGUUGGUGGGGUGANGGCCUACCAAGGCGACGACGGGUAGCCGGCCUGAGAGGGCGACCGGCCACACUGGGACUGAGACACGGCCCAGACUCCUACGGGAGGGCAGCAGUGGGGGAAUCUUGCGCAAUGGGCGAAAGCCCGACGCAGCGACGCCGCGUGAGGGAUGACGGCCUGGUGUAACGU
RNAcentral lists this ribosomal RNA (400 nucleotides) under uncultured bacterium. RNAcentral describes it as "bacterial SSU rRNA". It matches the Rfam family "Bacterial small subunit ribosomal RNA", at positions 28 to 431 of the family's 1533-position model. The record is from RNAcentral.